GACGAACGCUGGCGGCGUGCCUAAUACAUGCAAGUUGAGCGCUGAAGGUUGGUACUUGUACCAACUGGAUGAGCAGCGAACGGGUGAGUAACGCGUGGGGAAUCUGCCUUUGAGCGGGGGACAACAUUUGGAAACGAAUGCUAAUACCGCAUAAAAACUUUAAACACAAGUUUUAAGUUUGAAAGAUGCAAUUGCAUCACUCAAAGAUGAUCCCGCGUUGUAUUAGCUAGUUGGUGAGGUAAAGGCUCACCAAGGCGAUGAUACAUAGCCGACCUGAGAGGGUGAUCGGCCACAUUGGGACUGAGACACGGCCCAAACUCCUACGGGAGGCAGCAGUAGGGAAUCUUCGGCAAUAGACGAAAGUCUGACCGAGCAACGCCGCGGGAGUGAAGAAGGGUGUCGGAUCGUAAAACUCUGUUGGUAGGGAAGAACGUUGGUGAGAGUGGAAAGCUCAUCAAGUGACGGUAACUACCCAGAAAGGGACGGCUAACUACGUG
Molecule: ribosomal RNA, 497 nt
Filed under: uncultured bacterium
Lineage: Bacteria
Description: partial 16S ribosomal RNA
Rfam family: Bacterial small subunit ribosomal RNA
Source: RNAcentral